AUACGAGGGGUGCUAGCGUUGUUCGGAAUUAUUGGGCGUAAAGCGCGCGUAGGCGGACCAUCAAGUUGGGCGUGAAAGCCCUGGGCUCAACCCAGGAAUUGCGCUCGAAACUGGUGGACUAGAGUCCGGGAGAGGAUAGUGGAAUUCCCAGUGUAGAGGUGAAAUUCGUAGAUAUUGGGAAGAACACCAGUGGCGAAGGCGGCUAUCUGGACCGGUACUGACGCUGAGGUGCGAAAGCGUGGGGAGCAAACAGGAUUAGAAACCCCAGUAGUCC
RNAcentral lists this ribosomal RNA (274 nucleotides) under uncultured bacterium. Its description in RNAcentral is "partial 16S ribosomal RNA". It matches the Rfam family "Bacterial small subunit ribosomal RNA", at positions 523 to 796 of the family's 1533-position model. The record is from RNAcentral.